RNAcentral lists this ribosomal RNA (473 nucleotides) under uncultured bacterium. Its description in RNAcentral is "bacterial SSU rRNA". It matches the Rfam family "Bacterial small subunit ribosomal RNA", at positions 8 to 476 of the family's 1533-position model. The record is from RNAcentral.
AGAGUUUGAUCCUGGCUCAGAUUGAACGCUGGCGGCAGGCCUAACACAUGCAAGUCGAACGGUAACAGGAAGAAGCUUGCUUCUUUGCUGACGAGUGGCGGACGGGUGAGUAAUGUCUGGGAAACUGCCUGAUGGAGGGGGAUAACUACUGGAAACGGUAGCUAAUACCGCAUAACGUCGCAAGACCAAAGAGGGGGACCUUCGGGCCUCUUGCCAUCGGAUGUGCCCAGAUGGGAUUAGCUAGUAGGUGGGGUAACGGCUCACCUAGGCGACGAUCCCUAGCUGGUCUGAGAGGAUGACCAGCCACACUGGAACUGAGACACGGUCCAGACUCCUACGGGAGGCAGCAGUGGGGAAUAUUGCACAAUGGGCGCAAGCCUGAUGCAGCCAUGCCGCGUGUAUGAAGAAGGCCUUCGGGUUGUAAAGUACUUUCAGCGGGGAGGAAGGGAGUAAAAGUUAAUACCUUUUGCUCA